Molecule: ribosomal RNA, 403 nt
Filed under: uncultured bacterium
Lineage: Bacteria
Description: bacterial SSU rRNA
Rfam family: Bacterial small subunit ribosomal RNA
Source: RNAcentral
UGAGGGAUAUUGGUCAAUGGGCGCAAGCCUGAACCAGCGACGCCGCGUGGGUGAAGAAGGUCUUCGGAUCGUAAAGCCCUUUUCCCACUGAAGAGGAAGGACGGUAGGUGGGGAAGAAGUCUCGGCUAACUACGUGCCAGCAGCCGCGGUAAAACGUAGGAGACAAGCGUUAUCCGGAGUUACUGGGCGUAAAGGGCGUGCAGGUGGCGUCUUAAGUCUGUUGUGAAAGCGCCUGGCUUAACCGGGCGAGGCCAAUGGAGACUGAGAGGCUGGAGGACGGCGGAGGGGUGUGGAAUGCCGGGUGUAGUGGUGAAAUGCGUAGAGAUCCGGAGGAACACCGGAGGCGAAGGCGGCACUCUAAGCCGUACCUGACACUGAGACGCGACAGCACGGGGAGCAAACG